UACGGAAGGUCCGGGCGUUAUCCGGAUUUAUUGGGUUUAAAGGGAGCGUAGGCCGGAGAUUAAGCGUGUUGUGAAAUGUAGACGCUCAACGUCUGCACUGCAGCGCGAACUGGUUUCCUUGAGUACGCACAAAGUGGGCGGAAUUCGUGGUGUAGCGGUGAAAUGCUUAGAUAUCACGAAGAACUCCGAUUGCGAAGGCAGCUCACUGGAGCGCAACUGACGCUGAAGCUCGAAAGUGCGGGUAUCGAACAGGAUUAGAAACCCCAGUAGUCGGCGAUGACU
This 282-nucleotide ribosomal RNA is filed under the name Segatella copri DSM 18205. RNAcentral's name for it is "Prevotella copri DSM 18205 partial 16S ribosomal RNA". It matches the Rfam family "Bacterial small subunit ribosomal RNA", at positions 524 to 805 of the family's 1533-position model. Lineage: Bacteria; Pseudomonadati; Bacteroidota; Bacteroidia; Bacteroidales; Prevotellaceae. The record is from RNAcentral.